UCCCUAUUAUAAGAAUGGCCAAUGAGAGUCUGGGAAAUUUGUUUGAAUCAAUCAGUGUCUUUCACAAUUUAGCCUUCUGGUGGUUCAGUUGCACUGGAAACUUGGGUGAAUGGACUAGAAAGUCGAGCCAUUUAUGCUUAUGCUGGAAUACCAACAUGACACACUGUGGCUGUUAAAUACUUAUUGUUAUUUUAUUUCUCUUUUUCUUUUCUCUGCUUUCCUUAAAUGAAUCUGUAAUUGCUUUGGUUUCCUUGUCUUCCUAGAUGUGGCAGCAUCAUGGACAAAACUAGGUGCCUCUUUUUUCUUUAAUUCUCCUUUGCAAGCUAUUUGAGCAUUCUCCUGUAGUUAAUGCUUCAUUGUAUCUGUAAAUCAAUGUAUAUUGACUAAAUGAAGAAUUCCCUGUUCGAGUGGCUUCCGUGAA
Long non-coding RNA from Telopea speciosissima, 421 nucleotides. RefSeq lists it as uncharacterized. The record is from RefSeq and is a predicted model, not a curated record. The transcript has 3 exons. Lineage: Eukaryota; Viridiplantae; Streptophyta; Magnoliopsida; Proteales; Proteaceae.